RNAcentral lists this ribosomal RNA (459 nucleotides) under uncultured bacterium. Its description in RNAcentral is "partial 16S ribosomal RNA". It matches the Rfam family "Bacterial small subunit ribosomal RNA", at positions 338 to 795 of the family's 1533-position model. The record is from RNAcentral.
CCUACGGGAGACAGCAGUGAGGAAUAUUGGUCAAUGGCCGGGAGGCUGAACCAGCCAAGCCGCGUGAAGGACGAAUGUGCCAAGCAUUGUAAACUUCUUUUGUCAAGGGACAAAAUCAGGCACGAGAGGCUGACCGAGGGUACUUGAAGAAAAAGCAUCGGCUAACUCCGUGCCAGCAGCCGCGGUAAUACGGAGGAUGCGAGCGUUAUCCGGAUUUAUUGGGUUUAAAGGGUGCGUAGGCGGGCUAUUAAGUCAGCGGUAAAAGCGCGGAGCUCAACUCCAGCGAGCCGUUGAAACUGGUUAUCUUGAGUGGGCGAGAGGUAUGCGGAAUGCGUAGUGUAGCGGUGAAAUGCAUAGAUAUCGCGCAGAACUCCGAUUGCGAAGGCAGCAUACCGGCGCCCGUCUGACGCUGAGGCACGAAAGCGUGGGUAUCGAACAGGAUUAGAUACCCGUGUAGUC